Molecule: ribosomal RNA, 387 nt
Filed under: Triticum aestivum (bread wheat)
Lineage: Eukaryota; Viridiplantae; Streptophyta; Magnoliopsida; Poales; Poaceae
Description: partial small subunit ribosomal RNA
Source: RNAcentral
AUGCACGGCACGGUCACUGGAGAGGCGUUUGCGGCGGAGCUCGUCGGCGUCGCGUAUGCCAGGGCGUCGAAGCCGACCAACGCGUUCGCCGCCUCGUCUCCUGGAGCGGGCGGCCACAACUACAAGGGCGCCUCCGCGUCCGCCGUGCUGGCCCGCCUAGCCGGCGGCAACAGGUGGCACCAGGACGACGACGGCGGUGAAAUGGAUGAACUGCAGGAGGUUAGCCGUCCACAUCCCUGUGCCUCUGUUGGUGAACAUCGUGGAGUAAUGUUGUUAAGUUAUCUGCUGCUGUUUGUUGUCCUGUUAAUUUCAGAAAGAAUUCCAAUCCAUCAUGGUGUGCGCAUGCAGUUAAUUGAUCUCCAGUUAAGUGAUCUGCUGUUGUUUUAG